This is a long non-coding RNA of Odocoileus virginianus texanus, 466 nucleotides long. RefSeq lists it as uncharacterized. Lineage: Eukaryota; Metazoa; Chordata; Mammalia; Artiodactyla; Cervidae. The record is from RefSeq and is a predicted model, not a curated record.
CGAAUCUGGCAUUGGAUCGCAGGGCUGACCCGGGCACCAGCAGCGCUGAUUCACCGACCCCGCCUCGGACCUGUUGCCGGAACCUGUCUCCGGAAAGCACUGGAAUCGUGAGGCUGUACACCCCGCCCUAAGCGCUGGCCAAUUACUCCCUCAUGCGAGUGUAUUUUAACAGCUCACAAACUUCCUGUACCUGCAGACUGACGCCGAAUUCUGAGAUUUGUUUGACAUCUCUUUCAGAGUCUUUCCUUCCCUUUUAAUUCUAGAGGAAAACAUUCAAAAAGAAUACUUCCUAUUCAAGACGGCUGUAAAUGAUGUUUUUGUGUGUGUGGUACCACUAUAAAUGUACGUAGAACAGAACUAAAAUUUUUAAGAAUUGUUCCUUAAGCUAUCUGAGACCCAAGUUAACGCUGUUAAUAUACUGAGAGCUCCAUUUUAAAAAACUGAAAUAAAACUCUUGGUAAAUUGA